RNAcentral lists this transfer RNA (65 nucleotides) under Cristaria plicata. RNAcentral describes it as "tRNA-Lys". The record is from RNAcentral. Lineage: Eukaryota; Metazoa; Mollusca; Bivalvia; Unionida; Unionidae.
AUCCAUGAUGGCCGAGAUAUUAGGCAUCGAGCUUUUAACUCGAUCACAGUUUUUACUUCAGGAUG